UACGGAAGGCAGCAGUGGGGAAUAUUGCACAAUGGGCGAAAGCCUGAUGCAGCUAUGCCGCGUGUAUGAAGAAGGCCUUAGGGUUGUAAAGUACUUUCAUCGGGGAGGAAAAAACAAAACUAAUAAUUUUAUUUCUUGACGUUACCCGAAAAAGAAGCACCGGCUAACUCCGUGCCAGCAGCCGCGGUAAUACGGAGGGUGCUAGCGUUAAUCAGAAUUACUGGGCGUAAAGAGCACGUAGGUGGUUUUUUUAAGUCAGAUGUGAAUCCCUGGGCUUAACCUAGGAACUGCAUUUUGAAACUGAAAUACUAGAGUAUCGUAGAGGGAGGUAGAAUUCUAGGUGUAGCGGUGAAAUGCGUAGAUAUCUGGAGGAAUACCUGUGGCGAAAGCGGCCUCCUAAACGAAUACUGACACUGAGGUGCGAAAGCGUGGGGAGCAAACAGGGAUUAGAUACC
This 455-nucleotide ribosomal RNA is filed under the name uncultured bacterium. RNAcentral describes it as "bacterial SSU rRNA". It matches the Rfam family "Bacterial small subunit ribosomal RNA", at positions 340 to 786 of the family's 1533-position model. The record is from RNAcentral.